This 844-nucleotide ribosomal RNA is filed under the name uncultured cyanobacterium. RNAcentral's name for it is "bacterial SSU rRNA". It matches the Rfam family "Bacterial small subunit ribosomal RNA", at positions 530 to 1374 of the family's 1533-position model. The record is from RNAcentral. Lineage: Bacteria; Bacillati; Cyanobacteriota.
AGUGGCAAGCGUUAUCCGGAAUUAUUGGGCGUAAAGCGUCCGCAGGCGGCCCUUCAAGUCUGCUGUUAAAAAGUGGAGCUUAACUCCAUCAUGGCAGUGGAAACUGUUGGGCUUGAGUGUGGUAGGGGCAGAGGGAAUUCCCGGUGUAGCGGUGAAAUGCGUAGAUAUCGGGAAGAACACCAGUGGCGAAGGCGCUCUGCUGGGCCAUAACUGACGCUCAUGGACGAAAGCCAGGGGAGCGAAAGGGAUUAGAUACCCCUGUAGUCCUGGCCGUAAACGAUGAACACUAGGUGUCGGGGGAAUCGACCCCCUCGGUGUCGUAGCCAACGCGUUAAGUGUUCCGCCUGGGGAGUACGCACGCAAGUGUGAAACUCAAAGGAAUUGACGGGGGCCCGCACAAGCGGUGGAGUAUGUGGUUUAAUUCGAUGCAACGCGAAGAACCUUACCAGGGUUUGACAUCCUGCGAACCUCUUGGAAACGAGAGGGUGCCUUCGGGAACGCAGUGACAGGUGGUGCAUGGCUGUCGUCAGCUCGUGUCGUGAGAUGUUGGGUUAAGUCCCGCAACGAGCGCAACCCACGUCUUUAGUUGCCAGCAUUUAGUUGGGCACUCUAGAGAGACCGCCGGUGAUAAACCGGAGGAAGGUGUGGAUGACGUCAAGUCAUCAUGCCCCUUACAUCCUGGGCUACACACGUACUACAAUGCUAUGGACAAAGAGCAGCAAGUUCGCGAGGACAAGCAAAUCUCAUAAACCGUGGCUCAGUUCAGAUCGUAGGCUGCAACUCGCCUACGUGAAGGAGGAAUCGCUAGUAAUCGCAGGUCAGCAUACUGCGGUGAAUACGUUCC